UAUAUAGGUGUUUCCCGCAAGGGAGCCGAACAGAGAAGCCGGUGGAAAUCCGGCACGGUACCGCCGCUGUAACAGGGAGCUGAUCCGCAUGUUUGAUGUCACUGGGAAACCGGGAAGACGCGGAGAUGUGAUGAACUGAAGUCAGAAGAACUGCCUAUA
This 159-nucleotide non-coding RNA is filed under the name human gut metagenome. The record is from RNAcentral.